This 482-nucleotide ribosomal RNA is filed under the name uncultured fungus. RNAcentral's name for it is "SSU rRNA". It matches the Rfam family "Eukaryotic small subunit ribosomal RNA", at positions 68 to 552 of the family's 1831-position model. Lineage: Eukaryota; Fungi. The record is from RNAcentral.
AGCAACUUGUACUGUGAAACUGCGAAUGGCUCAUUAAAUCAGUUAUCGUUUAUUUGAUAGUACCUUACUACAUGGAUACCUGUGGUAAUUCUAGAGCUAAUACAUGCUAAAAACCCCGACUUCAGGAAGGGGUGUAUUUAUUAGAUAAAAAACCAACGCCCUUCGGGGCUCCUUGGUGAAUCAUAAUAACUUAACGAAUCGCAUGGCCUUGCGCCGGCGAUGGUUCAUUCAAAUUUCUGCCCUAUCAACUUUCGAUGGUAGGAUAGUGGCCUACCAUGGUGGCAACGGGUAACGGGGAAUUAGGGUUCGAUUCCGGAGAGGGAGCCUGAGAAACGGCUACCACAUCCAAGGAAGGCAGCAGGCGCGCAAAUUACCCAAUCCCGAUACGGGGAGGUAGUGACAAUAAAUACUGAUACGGGGCUCUUUUGGGUCUCGUAAUUGGAAUGAGAACAAUUUAAAUCCCUUAACGAGGAACAAUUGGG